UGAACGCUGGCGGCAGGCCUAACACAUGCAAGUCGAACGGUAACAGGAAGCAGCUUGCUGCUUCGCUGACGAGUGGCGGACGGGUGAGUAAUGUCUGGGAAACUGCCUGAUGGAGGGGGAUAACUACUGGAAACGGUAGCUAAUACCGCAUAACGUCGCAAGACCAAAGAGGGGGACCUUCGGGCCUCUUGCCAUCGGAUGUGCCCAGAUGGGAUUAGCUAGUAGGUGGGGUAACGGCUCACCUAGGCGACGAUCCCUAGCUGGUCUGAGAGGAUGACCAGCCACACUGGAACUGAGACACGGUCCAGACUCCUACGGGAGGCAGCAGUGGGGAAUAUUGCACAAUGGGCGCAAGCCUGAUGCAGCCAUGCCGCGUGUAUGAAGAAGGCCUUCGGGUUGUAAAGUACUUUCAGCGGGGAGGAAGGCGAUAAGGUUAAUAACCUUGUCGAUUGACGUUACCCGCAGAAGAAGCACCGGCUAACUCCGUGCCAGCAGCCGCGGUAAUACGGAGGGUGCAAGCGUUAAUCGGAAUUACUGGGCGUAAAGCGCACGCAGGCGGUCUGUCAAGUCGGAUGUGAAAUCCCCGGGCUCAACCUGGGAACUGCAUUCGAAACUGGCAGGCUAGAGUCUUGUAGAGGGGGGUAGAAUUCCAGGUGUAGCGGUGAAAUGCGUAGAGAUCUGGAGGAAUACCGGUGGCGAAGGCGGCCCCCUGGACAAAGACUGAC
RNAcentral lists this ribosomal RNA (725 nucleotides) under Buttiauxella sp. Its description in RNAcentral is "bacterial SSU rRNA". It matches the Rfam family "Bacterial small subunit ribosomal RNA", at positions 30 to 744 of the family's 1533-position model. The record is from RNAcentral. Lineage: Bacteria; Pseudomonadati; Pseudomonadota; Gammaproteobacteria; Enterobacterales; Enterobacteriaceae.